RNAcentral lists this ribosomal RNA (485 nucleotides) under uncultured bacterium. RNAcentral's name for it is "partial 16S ribosomal RNA". It matches the Rfam family "Bacterial small subunit ribosomal RNA", at positions 29 to 523 of the family's 1533-position model. The record is from RNAcentral.
AGUGAACGCUGGCGGCGUGCUUAACACAUGCAAGUCGAACGAGAACGGGAUAUAGCUUGCUAUAUUUGUCAGCUAAGUGGCGCACGGGUGAGUAAUGUAUAGAUAACCUGCCCUCUAGAAAGGAAUAACAGUUGGAAACGACUGCUAAUGCCCUAUAUGCCUUUAAUACAUAAGUAUGCAAGGGAAACGCUUUAGUGCUAGAGGAUGGGUCUGUAUGGUAUCAGCUUGUUGGUGAGGUAAUGGCUCACCAAGGCUAUGACGCCUAACUGGUUUGAGAGGAUGAUCAGUCACACUGGAACGGAGACACGGUCCAGACUCCUGCGGGAUGCAGCAGUGGGGAAUAUUGCACAAUGGACGAAGGUCUGAUGCAGCAACGCCGCGUGGAGGAUGACACAUUUCGGUGCGUAAACUCCUUUUAUAUAGGAAGAUAAUGACGGUACUAUAUGAAUAAGCACCGGCUAACUCCGUGCCAGCCGCCGCCGUAA